Molecule: ribosomal RNA, 253 nt
Filed under: uncultured bacterium
Lineage: Bacteria
Description: partial 16S ribosomal RNA
Rfam family: Bacterial small subunit ribosomal RNA
Source: RNAcentral
UACGGGGGGGGCAAGCGUUGUUCGGAACUACUGGGCGUAAAGGGCUCGUAGGCGGCCAACUAAGUCAGACGUGAAAUCCCUCGGCUUAACCGGGGAACUGCGUCUGAUACUGGAUGGCUUGAAUCCGGGAGAGGGAUGUGGAAUUCCAGGUGUAGCGGUGAAAUGCGUAGAUAUCUGGAGGAACACCGGUGGCGAAGGCGGCAUCCUGGACCGGUAUUGACGCUGAGGAGCGAAAGCCAGGGGAGCAAACGGG